This 45-nucleotide non-coding RNA is filed under the name Trichobilharzia regenti. The record is from RNAcentral. Lineage: Eukaryota; Metazoa; Platyhelminthes; Trematoda; Strigeidida; Schistosomatidae.
AUCCAACUGACGAGUCCCAAAUAGGACGAAAUGCGCAUUUUGGAU